This 439-nucleotide ribosomal RNA is filed under the name uncultured bacterium. RNAcentral describes it as "partial 16S ribosomal RNA". It matches the Rfam family "Bacterial small subunit ribosomal RNA", at positions 339 to 795 of the family's 1533-position model. The record is from RNAcentral.
CUACGGGUGGCACCAGUGAGGAAUAUUGUACAAUGGGGGGAACCCUGAUGCAGCAACGCCGCGUGGAGGAUGACGCAUUUCGGUGUGUAAACUCCUUUUAUAUAUCAAGAAAAUGACGGUAGCAUAUGAAUAAGCACCGGCUAACUCCGUGCCAGCAGCCGCGGUAAUACGGAGGGUGCAAGCGUUACUCGGAAUCACUGGGCGUAAAGGACGCGUAGGCGGGUUGGAAAGUCAGGUGUGAAAUCCUACAGCUUAACUGUAGAACUGCACUUGAAACUUCUAAUCUAGAGUAUGGGAGGGGGAGAUGGAAUUAGUGGUGUAGGGGUAAAAUCCGUAGAUAUCACUAGGAAUACCUAAAGCGAAGGCGAUCUCCUGGAACAUUACUGACGCUAAGGCGUGAAAGCGUGGGGAGCAAACAGGAUUAGAUACCCGUGUAGUC